Molecule: long non-coding RNA, 1522 nt
Filed under: Homo sapiens (human)
Lineage: Eukaryota; Metazoa; Chordata; Mammalia; Primates; Hominidae
Description: non-protein coding LINC02588:23
Source: RNAcentral
GUGAAGUAUUUUGCUCAAGGUCGUUCAUCAAAUUAGUAGUUUAAUUAACUCAGUGUUCUAGGAAGCAGGGUAGUAGAAAAGCAUGGGAUUCGGAGUCUGAAAUCUUCCUUGGUUUCUGGUCCUUGUAGGCUGUUUUACAAGUGUAUCUUGGGCAAAUCCCUUAACGUCUUGCCAUUUAUUAAGGGCUUACUUACCACGUGGCAAACAAUCCACUUUGCAUGCUGUGUCAAUUACAUGCAGUAUGUCGUGUAGUUAUUACUGUCCCCAUUUUAUGAGGUAGUUUAGGUUUAAAGAUAUUAGAAAUUUACCCAAAGUUACGCAGUUAUAAACAUUGUAGUAAUUUCAAACUCAGGUCUUCGUGACUGCAAAGGCUGCUGUCUUAAGUAUUGUAAUACAUUAGAGCUCCGGAUUCCCUCCCACUCAAAACAGAGACUGAGACUCCAACCAAUUUCCACCAUUAUUGGGAGUCAAACGAGAGAGACUGUGGCAAUGUAUUCUAAGCUGUACAAAGGUAUAAACAUAUUCACUAGAUUUGUAGAAUGAAGUUAUUCCUUCCCUAUACUUUCCACUACAACAAUUCAGCCAAAAAGAUGGCUUUCAUACUAAGCAUAAGAAGGAACUUCACUGUAAUUAUGAUAUUCUAACCAAGAAUAUAUGCAUAUCUAGGCAAUAACCAAAGUGAAUAGAAUAAAAUUUAAUUCCUGAUAGAUUAAAUAGGCAAUAGCAAGGAAUGCUAACGCUCCUCAUAGCGUUCUUGUUGGAAGAAUCAUCUAGGAGGCAUUGGGAUUUCUGGUGCUUUUUAAGCAAUGAGAGAUAUCAGUCCACUGAAUGAGGAAGAGAAUAACGUUUAGUUUCGGACUAAAAGUUCAUCUGGACUACGGAAAACACGUUUGCCUCAAUCAGUGAAGAAGGUAUGCUGAGAGCUGAAAGAAAAGGAAAGCAGCAACAGUGAGAGCUCAGAAAUUCCCAGACUGUUUUGAUGAUAAGGUCCAAGAACUUGCCAUGUGAUCCAUCACUACUAGACUCCCACAACUGCAUUAGAUUUGUUCAGGAUUUUCAUAUAAUUUUCAUAACUGGCUAAGUUCUGAAAUAACCCAUCUUGAAGACAUAAACAAUGUGCAUUGAUGGCUAGCCAGACUCUGUCCUGCCACAGUUCUCCUCCUACUCUUCAUUUCUUACCCCAAGGAGUAGUAAACAUGAAUCCUGACCCACCAAUGCAGUCCCAGAACUGAGAAAAGAUUCACUGCAGCUAAACAGUAGGUAGAAAUAAAAACAAUGACUCAAUUCAAUAAUAUUAAGUGUGUUGGGAAGACAGUCUCCAAGAGAAACGAUAAAUAACCUACAUAAUGAAGAAUUAGUUAGCAGUGUUAUGUAAAUAUUGUAGCAGCAUCAAUGAGGAGGAUUAUUUUUGCACCUUUGGAAAGCAACUGAAAAAGGAAGCCUGGAAAAAAUCCUGCCUAACAAAGCAGCAGUACUCAAAUAGCUUUAACUAUAAGAAAGAACUGAUUCAAGAUAUGAGAAG